This 73-nucleotide transfer RNA is filed under the name Chamaesiphon sp. Its description in RNAcentral is "tRNA-Arg". It matches the Rfam family "tRNA". From Rfam's summary of the family: Transfer RNA (tRNA) molecules are approximately 80 nucleotides in length. Their secondary structure includes four short double-helical elements and three loops (D, anti-codon, and T loops). Further hydrogen bonds mediate the characteristic L-shaped molecular structure. tRNAs have two regions of fundamental functional importance: the anti-codon, which is responsible for specific mRNA codon recognition, and the 3' end, to which the tRNAs corresponding amino acid is attached (by aminoacyl-tRNA synthetases). tRNAs cope with the degeneracy of the genetic code in two manners: having more than one tRNA (with a specific anti-codon) for a particular amino acid; and 'wobble' base-pairing, i.e. permitting non-standard base-pairing at the 3rd anti-codon position. Lineage: Bacteria; Bacillati; Cyanobacteriota; Cyanophyceae; Gomontiellales; Chamaesiphonaceae. The record is from RNAcentral.
GGGGCUGUAGCUCAGUUGGAUAGAGCGAUCGCCUCCUAAGCGAUAGGCCGUGGGUUCGAUCCCCGCUAGUCCC